AUUCCCCUAGUAACUGCGAGUGAAGCGGGAAAAGCUCAAAUUUAAAAUCUGAUGGUCUUUGACCAUUCGAGUUGUAAUUUAGAGAAGCGUCUUCCGCGCUGGACCGUGCACAAGUCUCCUGGAAUGGAGCGUCAUAGAGGGUGAGAAUCCCGUCUUUGGCAUGGAUCCCAGUGCUUUUGUGAUGCGCUCUCGACGAGUCGAGUUGUUUGGGAAUGCAGCUCAAAAUGGGUGGUGAACUCCAUCUAAAGCUAAAUAUUGGCGAGAGACCGAUAGCGAACAAGUACCGUGAGGGAAAGAUGAAAAGCACUUUGGAAAGAGAGUGAAACAGUACGUGAAAUUGUUGAAAGGGAAACGCUUGAAGUCAGUCGCGUUGACCGAGACUCAGCCUUGCCUUGGCUUGGUGUAUUUCUUGGCUAACGGGUCAGCAUCAAUUUUGAUCCUUGGAUAAUGGCAAGGGAAAGGUGGCACCUUUUAGGUGUGUUAUAGUCCUAUGUCGCAUGCGAGGGUUGGGAUUGAGGAACUCAGCACGCACCUCUGGGUGUCGGGGCUUCGGCCUACGUUACGUGCUUAGGAUGUUGGCGUAAUGGCUUUAAACGACCCGUCUUGAAACACGGACCAAGGAGUCUAACAUACCCGCGAGUGUUCGGGUGGAAAACCCGUGCGCGUAAUGAAAGUAAAAGUUGGGACCUCUGUCGUGGAGGGCACCGACGCCCGGACCAGACCUUCUGUGACGGCUCUGCGGUAGAGCGUGUAUGUUGGGACCCGAAAGAUGGUGAACUAUGCCUGAAUAGGGUGAAGCCAGAGGAAACUCUGGUGGAGGCUCGUAGCGAUUCUGACGUGCAAAUCGAUCGUCAAAUUUGGGUAUAGGGGCGAAAGAC
RNAcentral lists this ribosomal RNA (878 nucleotides) under Russula cf. pseudocarmesina VH-2016. RNAcentral's name for it is "eukaryotic LSU rRNA". It matches the Rfam family "Eukaryotic large subunit ribosomal RNA", at positions 74 to 931 of the family's 3401-position model. Lineage: Eukaryota; Fungi; Basidiomycota; Agaricomycetes; Russulales; Russulaceae. The record is from RNAcentral.